RNAcentral lists this long non-coding RNA (2639 nucleotides) under Mus musculus (house mouse). RNAcentral describes it as "long non-coding RNA chr13:29032393-29035032". Lineage: Eukaryota; Metazoa; Chordata; Mammalia; Rodentia; Muridae. The record is from RNAcentral.
CAGAUAGGAAAUUCAAUUUUCCCCCCAUUUCAUUGGUAAAGACCAGCUCUAUGGCCUGAUAUAAAUGCAAGGAGCUAAAGUCAUGUAAUCUCUUGAACUUCUAAAAGGCAAAUGACAAGUGAGAGCACGGAUGGCUCUCUGUCUACUUGGAGGGGGACAUUUCUAAUCAAGUGCUAUUAGAAUUGUCGAAUUUGUAAACCGCACAAAAGCUUUGAUGGCCAAUCCAGUGAUAUUUACAAAUGAUGCCCUUUUGAAAUGAGAGCUGUGGUUCUAGACUACAGAGCCUGCUUUCUCUUCCCUAUUUUUCAACAUUUUUGCAGUGUUAUGACUUAGAGAAGUGUCACUGAAUCCCACCAAGCACGUACUAAGUGCUUAGUACUUACUGACGGAGGAAUACCACCAUAAAGAAACUACACUUGAAACGUCAGUGGAUUCAUGGUUGUACUUCAUAUCCAAAGUCACAAGGCCAUGACAGAGCCAGAAAAAGAGUUUUCCUGUAUAUUGCCAUUAACUACCAAAGUGCUUUUAUUACUUCCCUGAGAAAAGCUGGACCCAGCAGAGUUAUUUAUGUCUGUUGGCAGUUUCCAAAGGUGAUUGCCAUCUUUAGCCUUGGACUCUAUUCAUGCCCAGGUUUGGCGCAGAUAUAGAGCAAAAACAAUGCCUAGCACAGUUAGAGGCAAUAUCCUACUGUAGUUACUCCAUAGUGCCUAUCCCAACAGAGAAUGUACAAAGACACUACCCAGAUGCUUCCUCCUCUUAGAUUAAUUUCCUGCUAUUGUGAUAAAAGACCCCAGUAAAAGCAACCUAUGGGAGAAAGGGUUCAUUUGGUUAUAGUCUGUUAUGGCAACAGGAACAUGAAGCAGCUGAAGGCAUUAUAUCCACAGUCAAGAGCAGAGAACAAUGAAUUAAUGCAAGCGAGUUACUGCUUAGGGAAUUGUGCCACCCACAGUGGGUGGGUUUUCCAACUUUAAUUAAUGUAAUCAAGGUAAGCAUUCAUGCCUACAGGUCAACCUGGUCUAGACAGUCUCUCAUUGAGACUCUUUUCUCAAGUGAUUGUAGAUUGUGUCAAGCUGACCAUUAAAACUAACCAUCACAUAUUCUACAAACUUCCUAAGGACCAAUCAGAAUGAAUGUUUAUACUAAUAGCUUGCCUAUCUUCUUUGCUGGAUCCUGUGAGAUCGGAUCAGGACACUAUUGGGGAGGAGAGAGCAUACUGGCAAGAGGGGAAUGUUGAUACCAGAGGUGGGAGGGAGGAGUCAGGGAGAGGAUGAAUGAGAUUUAAGUACAGUGAUAGAUAUACAUGAAAAUGUCACAAUGGCCUGGGGAGGUGACCCAGUAUGCAAGCUUGAGGGUCUAAGUUUGGAUCCCAAGAAAGAACAUAAAAGCUAGGAAUGGCAGCAUAUACCCAUUACUCCGGCACUGGAAAGGUAGAAAGAGAUAGUUCUCCGGAUCUCAGCAGCCAGGCUGUCUAGCAGAAAUAGAGAACUAUGGGUUUGGUGACUGGCAUUGUCUCAGAAGGAAAAGUAAGGCACAAAGAGCAGCAUGCAGCAUUGACCUCUGACCUCGACCCAGGCACACAGGCACAAGCGCACCCCACAUAUAUGCAUACACUUACAUACUCCACACUAAACACAUGCACACGGAAGCCGACUUCUUUGUAUGACAACUCAAAUCUUAAUAGAAAAGAAUGAAGAUCUGGUUUGUGUAGAGUUUUGAAUCCCCUGCUCCUGAGAGGAUUCUUAGACUAACAAAGAGCAAAAUCAGUGUUUCCUGAGUCAGACAGAAGCCCUGCAGUCACACCAGAGACCCGAACGUUAGCCUGCACCUUUCUGCCUUACUCUGUUUUACAAUGAUAAAUUGGCGUCUGUAUGCAAAGAGGAAAAUGGGGACAGGCUGAGUUUGUAUUCUCAGCUGUUGCCCAGACCAUGCGAGAAGAGAGACUUCGAUUUCAUUUUAGCAUCCAGGAGACAUCAGGUCCAAUUUAAUUUGAUCCCCAAAUGACCAAGCUGAUUAAUUGUCAAGUCUGGUUUUACUCCAUAGUAAACCUUAAUCUUUCAUAAUUUGCCAUGAAAUUAAUGGGAGUUGGCUAUUUCAGGCACGAAUGAGGGAGGCCUAACAAACCUCCCCAGGCUGUCUUUAGGCCAGGUGGGGAUGGCCUGGCUGCACCCGAAGAGGAACAGGUGGAAUGAAGAUUAGGUCACAUGGUGAGAAGGGGGUGGCCGGAGGCCGGCAGCUGUUGAAAUCCCAGGUGUGUGUGAGUUGGCAGGGGUACAAAGCCAGGAGCUGCUAACAGCUCAAAGUCCCAGGGCUGUGCAGCUGCUCGCUUGGCGCUAGCUGUGGACCCACCUGUAGUGUUGACGGGCACACCCCACUCUUGGAGCAAGAGAACAUGAGAGGUCUGGGGAAGAGCAGCCACCCACCCCUUCUUAGCCAGAAGGUUGCGGGGAGCAAACUUACUCCCUGACUGACAAAAGUGAGUGGACUUGAGACCAGACCUCCUUGGCUUUUCUUAUUUACCACGCAGCCCUUGGAGGUCUAAAGAAAAGAUACACAUUUUCUUUCUAUCCAAGAACCUAGUCCCAAGCACCCCUAGGAAGUAGGGAAAAAUUAACCCUGAGCUGGAGGGUAAAUCAACAGGC